UAGUCCACGCCGUAAACGAUGUCAACUAGCUGUUGGAUUAAUUUAUUAAUUCGGUGGCGUAGCUAACGCGAUAAGUUGACCGCCUGGGGAGUACGGUCGCAAGAUUAAAACUCAAAGGAAUUGACGGGGCCCGCACAAGCGGUGGAGCAUGUGGUUUAAUUCGAUGCAACGCGAAGAACCUUACCUACCCUUGACAUCAUCAGAACUUGUUAGAGAUAACUCGGUGCCUUUUGGAACUGAUUGACAGGUGCUGCAUGGCUGUCGUCAGCUCGUGUCGUGAGAUGUUGGGUUAAGUCCCGUAACGAGCGCAACCCUUAUCCUUAGUUGCCAGCACGUAAUGGUGGGGACUCUAAGGAGACUGCCGGUGCUAAGCCGGAGGAAGGCGGGGACGACGUCAAGUCAUCAUGGCCCUUACGGGGUAGGGGCUAC
This 429-nucleotide ribosomal RNA is filed under the name uncultured bacterium. Its description in RNAcentral is "bacterial SSU rRNA". It matches the Rfam family "Bacterial small subunit ribosomal RNA", at positions 791 to 1217 of the family's 1533-position model. The record is from RNAcentral.